AGUACGUGUACCUCCACCAGUGCGUGCGGGAUGUGCUGAGGGCCCGGCUGCUGGAGCAUGAGCAGGAGGAGACGCAGCCCCCCGUCUAUGAGAACGUCAACCCCGAGCCCCAGGCGCGGGAGGCCCCCUGACCCGCCGCGCAGUGGUACAGCCCGCCGGUGGAGAGCUGAUGCUGAAGACCAUGCGCAGUGGAUGCCUGGUCACUGAGGAACCAGCGGCACAAAAGAUUUUCCACAUGUAACGCAGCAGAGCGUGAGACUUUACGGUUGCAGUCUGUGUGAACUCUCCCAGUCCUCUGUGAGGAGACGUCAGAAGCUACUUCAUCGUAGCACUGCUGAAGGCAGGAGUCUGAGAAUAUUCAGAUAUUCGGAGAACAACCAGAGCUGCCACCAAUUACCACAGCUGUCAUGGCAACCUUUAGCAAGGCAGCAGAUAAUCGGAGGCACCUGCACAUCAAGCAGAAGAUGUAGAUAAAUCGAUGAGCGAUUACCAAACAUACAGAGCUAAGAAUCACACUGAUAUGACACAGUUAUGUUAGAGAAGCAACAAACAACAGCAAAGCUAAAUUGACGG
This is a non-coding RNA of Paramormyrops kingsleyae, 573 nucleotides long. The record is from RefSeq and is a predicted model, not a curated record. Lineage: Eukaryota; Metazoa; Chordata; Actinopteri; Osteoglossiformes; Mormyridae.